Tinamus guttatus (white-throated tinamou) is the source of this 160-nucleotide non-coding RNA. NCBI's taxonomy places the organism in Eukaryota, Metazoa, Chordata, Aves, Tinamiformes, Tinamidae. The record is from RefSeq and is a predicted model, not a curated record.
CUGCAGGCCGUGAAAGGCGCCCCACUGGUGAAGGCCCUGCCUGUGAACCCCACGGACCCGGCUGUCACCGGCCCCGACAUCUUCGCCAAGCUGGUUCCCAUGGCCGCCCACGAGGCCUCCUCGCUCUACAGCGAGGAGAAGGCCAAGCUGCUGCAGGAUG